GACGAACGCUGGCGGCGUGCUUAACACAUGCCAGUCGAACGGAAAGGCCCUGCUUUUGUGGGGUGCUCGAGUGGCGAACGGGUGAGUAACACGUGAGUAACCUGCCCUUGACUUUGGGAUAACUUCAGGAAACUGGGGCUAAUACCGGAUAGGAGCUCCUGCUGCAUGGGGGGGGUUGGAAAGUUUCGGCUGUGGGGGAUGGACUCGCGGCUUAUCAGCUUGUUGGUGGGGUAGUGGCUUACCAAGGCUUUGACGGGUAGCCGGCCUGAGAGGGUGACCGGCCACAUUGGGCCUGAGAUACGGACCAGACUCCUACGGGAGGCAGCAGUGGGGAAUAUUGCACAAUGGGCGGACGCCUAAUGCAGCAACGCCGCGUGCGGGAUGCCGGCCUUCGGGUUGUAAACCGCUUUCGCCUGUGACGAAGCGUGAGUGACGGUAAUGGGUAAAGAAGCCCCGGCUAACUACGUG
RNAcentral lists this ribosomal RNA (468 nucleotides) under uncultured bacterium. RNAcentral describes it as "partial 16S ribosomal RNA". It matches the Rfam family "Bacterial small subunit ribosomal RNA", at positions 28 to 507 of the family's 1533-position model. The record is from RNAcentral.